CGGGACGUGGCGCAGCUUGGUAGCGCACGUGAUCGGGGGUCAAGGGGUCGCAGGUUCAAAUCCUGUCGUCCCGA
This 74-nucleotide transfer RNA is filed under the name Actinomycetes bacterium. Its description in RNAcentral is "tRNA-Pro". It matches the Rfam family "tRNA". Rfam says of the family: Transfer RNA (tRNA) molecules are approximately 80 nucleotides in length. Their secondary structure includes four short double-helical elements and three loops (D, anti-codon, and T loops). The record is from RNAcentral. Lineage: Bacteria; Bacillati; Actinomycetota; Actinomycetes.